AAACCAACAGGGAUUGCCUCAGUAACGGCGAGUGAAGCGGCAAGAGCUCAAAUUUGAAAUCUGGCUCCUUCGGGGCCCGAGUUGUAAUUUGGAGAGGAUGCUUCGGGCGUGGCCCCUAUCUAAGUGCCCUGGAACGGGCCGUCAUAGAGGGUGAGAAUCCCGUCUGGGAUGGGUGGUCCCGCCCGUGUGAAGCUCCUUCGAAGAGUCGAGUUGUUUGGGAAUGCAGCUCUAAGAGGGUGGUAAAUUUCAUCUAAAGCUAAAUAUUGGCCGGAGACCGAUAGCGCACAAGUAGAGUGAUCGAAAGAUGAAAAGCACUUUGAAAAGAGAGUUAAACAGCACGUGAAAUUGUUGAAAGGGAAGCAUUGGCAACCAGACUUGCCUGGGGAGGCUCAGCCGGCACGUGUGCCGGUGCACUCCUCCCCGGCAGGCCAGCGUCGGUUUGGGCGGUCGGUCAAAGGCCCCGGGAACGUAGCACCCUUCGGGGUGCCUUAUAGCCCGGGGCGCCAUGCGACCUGCCCGGACCGAGGAACGCGCUUCGGCUCGGACGCUGGCGUAAUGGUUGUCAAUGGC
This 570-nucleotide ribosomal RNA is filed under the name Penicillium sp. Re011124. RNAcentral describes it as "eukaryotic LSU rRNA". It matches the Rfam family "Eukaryotic large subunit ribosomal RNA", at positions 62 to 648 of the family's 3401-position model. Lineage: Eukaryota; Fungi; Ascomycota; Eurotiomycetes; Eurotiales; Aspergillaceae. The record is from RNAcentral.